Molecule: ribosomal RNA, 771 nt
Filed under: uncultured Vagococcus sp.
Lineage: Bacteria; Bacillati; Bacillota; Bacilli; Lactobacillales; Enterococcaceae
Description: bacterial SSU rRNA
Rfam family: Bacterial small subunit ribosomal RNA
Source: RNAcentral
GACGAACGCUGGCGGCGUGCCUAAUACAUGCAAGUCGAACGCACGAAGUUGAAGAGCUUGCUCUUUAACCAAGUGAGUGGCGGACGGGUGAGUAACACGUGGGUAACCUGCCCAUUAGAGGGGGAUAACAUUCGGAAACGGAUGCUAAUACCGCAUAGUUUCAGGAAUCGCAUGAUUCUUGAAGGAAAGGUGGCUUCGGCUACCACUAAUGGAUGGACCCGCGGCGUAUUAGCUAGUUGGUGAGGUAAUGGCUCACCAAGGCAAUGAUACGUAGCCGACCUGAGAGGGUGAUCGGCCACACUGGGACUGAGACACGGCCCAGACUCCUACGGGAGGCAGCAGUAGGGAAUCUUCCGCAAUGGACAAAAGUCUGACGGAGCAACGCCGCGUGAGUGAAGAAGGUUUUCGGAUCGUAAAACUCUGUUGUUAAAGAAGAACAAGGAUGAGAGUAACUGCUCAUCCCCUGACGGUAUUUAACCAGAAAGCCACGGCUAACUACGUGCCAGCAGCCGCGGUAAUACGUAGGUGGCAAGCGUUGUCCGGAUUUAUUGGGCGUAAAGCGAGCGCAGGCGGUUCUUUAAGUCUGAUGUGAAAGCCCCCGGCUCAACCGGGGAGGGUCAUUGGAAACUGGAGAACUUGAGUGCAGAAGAGGAGAGUGGAAUUCCACGUGUAGCGGUGAAAUGCGUAGAUAUGUGGAGGAACACCAGUGGCGAAGGCGACUCUCUGGUCUGUAACUGACGCUGAGGCUCGAAAGCGUGGGGAGCAAACAGG